GACGAACGCUGGCGGCGUGCUUAACACAUGCAAGUCGAACGAUGAACCCGGAGCUUGCUCUGGGGGAUUAGUGGCGAACGGGUGAGUAACACGUGAGUAACCUGCCCUGGACUCUGGGAUAAGCGUUGGAAACGACGUCUAAUACCGGAUAGGACCUUGGAUCGCAUGAUCUGGGGUGGAAAGUUUUUUCGGUCUGGGAUGGACUCGCGGCCUAUCAGCUUGUUGGUGAGGUAAUGGCUCACCAAGGCGUCGACGGGUAGCCGGCCUGAGAGGGUGACCGGCCACACUGGGACUGAGACACGGCCCAGACUCCUACGGGAGGCAGCAGUGGGGAAGAUUGCACAAUGGGCGAAAGCCUGAGGCAGCAACGCGGCGUGCGGGAUGACGGCCUUCGGGUUGUAAACCGAUUUUAGUAGGGAAGAAGGGCUUCGGCUUGACGGUACCUGCAGAAAAAGGACCGGCUAACUACGUG
Molecule: ribosomal RNA, 472 nt
Filed under: uncultured bacterium
Lineage: Bacteria
Description: partial 16S ribosomal RNA
Rfam family: Bacterial small subunit ribosomal RNA
Source: RNAcentral